Long non-coding RNA from Chenopodium quinoa (quinoa), 1990 nucleotides. RefSeq lists it as uncharacterized. The record is from RefSeq and is a predicted model, not a curated record. NCBI's taxonomy places the organism in Eukaryota, Viridiplantae, Streptophyta, Magnoliopsida, Caryophyllales, Amaranthaceae. The transcript has 5 exons.
AUCAUUUUAACACAACUACUACUUGUACUAAAAAAUAAAAAUAAAAUACUGUAAAAAGGACCUAAAACAAGUUGGCCGAUAUUACACUAGUAGAGUAGUAGUAUACAAGUAUAUAAUUGUAUAUGGAGUUUCAAAGUACACUGUAAAGACGAUCAGCUUUGUGAGCUCAGUCGUGCAUUGGCUGUUCUGGCUUCCGCAUCAUCAGUGAGCAGGGAACGGGAGGAAUUCUUGAGACUUGAAUGAGGUAAGUGAACAGUUGGAACUAGUUUCUUCAAACUAACUUUUCCACCACUUUAGGACGCAGGAUUUAUGUCUCUAAUUCUCUUUUCCAGAUAGAGUUAUACAAUACUACGGUGGACAAGGAGGUAGGGGUGAGCACGGAUCGGAUAUCCGAUCCAACAUUCAUUUUCGGAUCGGAUAACCGUAUCCAAAAAUUCAAAUAUUUGAUAUCCAUAUCCGAUAAAUCAAAUAUCCGAAAUAUUCGGAUCGGAUGGUUCAGAUAUCCAAUAUCUGAUCAAUUUGAUAAUAUUGUUCAAAUUUUAAUUUUUUUUUUGGUUUUUACAGGAAAAUUGAUUUAUUGAACUUAAAAGUCCUUUCAUCUUUGUCAAGUAUCUUAACAUUCAUGACUACAAAAACAAACUCGUAUAUAAUUCUUCAAAUUUUUUGAAUAUAAAUAUCCCACAAAUUCCAAAAUCUAAAUGAUUAAAACCCAAAUAAAAAAAAAAAAAAAAAAAAAACAAAUCAGAAUCGAAAUCAAAGUACUCGGAAAAAUAUGAGUCAUAUACAAAGAAAUCGGGAAAAACGAAAUUAAUUUAUAUGAAUAAUCUGUAAAUAAACGUAGAUGUCUAUUCUCCGUUCACACGAUUCUCAUAACAGUAGAACGAACGGUGAAAAUGAAACCAAAAAGUCGCUUUUGAAUGAACGGUGAGAACAAGCGAAACCGCAAAGCCGCCUGAACAAGUGAGUGAAGCACUGAAGCCGCAAAGGUGCCUAACUGAAGGAAUGAAACUGCUAAGGUACUAAAAACUACUAAACUAGCUAUUAAUAAGAUCUGAGAUAUUGAGAUUUAAAUUUCAGAAAAUGAAAGGAGAGAGAAAGUUAGAGAGAGAGAGAGAGAGAGAUAUGAGGAAGGGAGAGAGAGAGUUAGAGAGAUGGUGAGAAAAGAGGCGGUAGGGGCUGGGGGGAGCUUUUGAGGGAAUUAGGGUUAGUUGGUUUGGGCCUUGGGCCUUUGAGGAAAGCAUUUCUUCACCAAAACAUAGCGCGUAACAAUAAGUGAUUUUUUGGAUUUCGGAUAUCCGAAAUCUAAAAUUUGGAUAUCUGAUAUCUGAUUUUUUCGGAUCGGAUAUCCGAUUUGAAAUCUAUUUCGGAUCGGGUAUCCAUAUUUUUCGGAUCAGAUGUGGAUCGGAUCAUCGGAUUUUUGGAUUUUCAGAUAGUUUUGCUCAGCUCUACAAGGAGGGCAAAGAGGGGGGAAGCUGAAUCUACGGAGGCAUACAAAGCUGCCCGGGAGGGUGAUGAAGAAGAGUUAGAUACUGCUCAAGUUUCUUCAGCACUGAUAAACAAGGUGGAUGCUAUUCUUCAAAAACUUGAAAAAGAAAUUGAUGAUGUGGAUGAGAAGAUUGGUGGUGAAUGGCGAUUGCUUGAUAGGGAUUACGAUGGGAAGGUGACUCCAGAAGAAGUAGCUUCUGCUGCUGCAUAUCUGAAAAACAAAAUUGACAAAGAUGGUAUCCAAGAGCUCAUCAACAAGCUGUCAAAAGACAGAGAGGGGAAGAUACUUGUUGAAGACAUUGUUAGGCUAGGCAGUCAGAAGCAUGGUGAGGAAGCUGAAUCUGAAAGAUGAAUAGAUUCAAGAUUUAUCCACUUUAGAAGUAAAUAUUUAUUGAAUGCUUAACUAUUAGCUUAGGUAGAACAACGUAAUAUUUUUAGUAUUGUUGUAUAUGUUGGAUAAAUUUAUACAAGUUUUUAUUUGUAAUGUGUUACUACUUCAGUUUUU